This 253-nucleotide ribosomal RNA is filed under the name uncultured bacterium. RNAcentral describes it as "partial 16S ribosomal RNA". It matches the Rfam family "Bacterial small subunit ribosomal RNA", at positions 524 to 776 of the family's 1533-position model. The record is from RNAcentral.
UACGAAGGGGGCUAGCGUUGCUCGGAAUGACUGGGCGUAAAGGGCGCGUAGGCGGUUCGUACAGUCAGACGUGAAAUUCCCGGGCUCAACCUGGGGGCUGCGUUUGAUACGUACGGGCUUGAGUUCGGAAGAGGGUCGUGGAAUUCCCAGUGGAGAGGUGAAAUUCGUAGAUAUUGGGAAGAACACCGGUGGCGAAGGCGGCGACCUGGUCCGAUACUGACGCUGAGGCGCGAAAGCGUGGGGAGCGAACAGG